GACGAACGCUGGCGGCGUGCCUAAUACAUGCAAGUAGAACGCUGAAGAGAGGAGCUUGCUCUUCUUGGAAGAGUUGCGAACGGGUGAGUAACGCGUAGGUAACCUGCCUUGUAGCGGGGGAUAACUAUUGGAAACGAUAGCUAAUACCGCAUAACAAUGGGUGACCCAUGUCAUUCAUUUGAAAGGGGCAAUUGCUCCACUACAAGAUGGACCUGCGUUGUAUUAGCUAGUAGGUGAGGUAACGGCUCACCUAGGCGACGAUACAUAGCCGACCUGAGAGGGUGAUCGGCCACACUGGGACUGAGACACGGCCCAGACUCCUACGGGAGGCAGCAGUAGGGAAUCUUCGGCAAUGGGGGCAACCCUGACCGAGCAACGCCGCGUGAGUGAAGAAGGUUUUCGGAUCGUAAAGCUCUGUUGUAAGUCAAGAACGAGUGUGAGAGUGGAAAGUUCACACUGUGACGGUAGCUUACCAGAAAGGGACGGCUAACUACGUGCCAGCAGCCGCGGUAAUACGUAGGUCCCGAGCGUUGUCCGGAUUUAUUGGGCGUAAAGCGAGCGCAGGCGGUUUGAUAAGUCUGAAGUUAAAGGCUGUGGCUCAACCAUAGUUCGCUUUGGAAACUGUCAAACUUGAGUGCAGAAGGGGAGAGUGGAAUUCCAUGUGUAGCGGUGAAAUGCGUAGAUAUAUGGAGGAACACCGGUGGCGAAAGCGGCUCUCUGGUCUGUAACUGACGCUGAGGCUCGAAAGCGUGGGGAGCGAACAGG
RNAcentral lists this ribosomal RNA (765 nucleotides) under uncultured Streptococcus sp. RNAcentral's name for it is "bacterial SSU rRNA". It matches the Rfam family "Bacterial small subunit ribosomal RNA", at positions 28 to 776 of the family's 1533-position model. Lineage: Bacteria; Bacillati; Bacillota; Bacilli; Lactobacillales; Streptococcaceae. The record is from RNAcentral.